RNAcentral lists this ribosomal RNA (441 nucleotides) under uncultured bacterium. RNAcentral's name for it is "partial 16S ribosomal RNA". It matches the Rfam family "Bacterial small subunit ribosomal RNA", at positions 338 to 795 of the family's 1533-position model. The record is from RNAcentral.
CCUACGGGGUGCAGCAGUGGGGGAUAUUGCACAAUGGGGGGAACCCUGAUGCAGCGACGCCGCGUGGGUGAAGGAGUGCUUCGGCAUGUAAAGCCCUAUCGGCAGGGAAGAAGCAAGACGGUACCUGACUAAGAAGCCCCGGCUAACUACGUGCCAGCAGCCGCGGUAAUACGUAGGGGGCGAGCGUUAUCCGGAUUCACUGGGUGUAAAGGGAGCGUAGACGGCCAUGCAAGCCAGGGGUGAAAGCCCGGGGCCCAACCCCGGGACUGCCCUUGGAACUGUGCGGCUAGAGUGCGGGAGGGGCAGGCGGAAUUCCUGGUGUAGCGGUGAAAUGCGUAGAUAUCAGGAGGAACACCGGCGGCGAAGGCGGCCUGCUGGACUGCGACUGACGUUGAGGCUCGAAAGCGUGGGGAGCGAACAGGAUUAGAUACCCCUGUAGUC